RNAcentral lists this ribosomal RNA (319 nucleotides) under Manga fuliginosa. RNAcentral describes it as "partial 16S large subunit ribosomal RNA". Lineage: Eukaryota; Metazoa; Arthropoda; Insecta; Lepidoptera; Noctuidae. The record is from RNAcentral. RNAcentral also lists the same sequence under 1 other name.
UUUAAUUGAUGACUUGUAUGAAGGAUUGGAUGAGAUAUAAUCUGUCUCUUAGUUAAUAGGUAGAAUUUAAUUUUUUAAUUAAAAAGUUAAAAUAAUUUAAAAAGACGAGAAGACCCUAUAGAGUUUUAUAGAUAAAUUAAUUAAGAUUAUUUAAAAAAUUUAAAAUUAAAAUUAAAUUAUUUAUUUUAUUGGGGUGAUAGAAAAAUAUAUUUAACUUUUUUUUUAAUUUAACAUUUAUAGGUGGUUAGAUGAUCCAAUAUUAUUGAUUAUAAGAAAUAAUUACCUUAGGGAUAACAGCGUAAUUUUUUUUUUUAGUUCA